GGGUUGUGAGGUUAAGCGACUAAGCGUACACGGUGGAUGCCCUGGCAGUCAGAGGCGAUGAAGGACGUGCUAAUCUGCGAUAAGCGUCGGUAAGGUGAUAUGAACCGUUAUAACCGGCGAUUUCCGAAUGGGGAAACCCAGUGUGUUUCGACACACUAUCAUUAACUGAAUCCAUAGGUUAAUGAGGCGAACCGGGGGAACUGAAACAUCUAAGUACCCCGAGGAAAAGAAAUCAACCGAGAUUCCCCCAGUAGCGGCGAGCGAACGGGGAGGAGCCCAGAGCCUGAAUCAGUGUGUGUGUUAGUGGAAGCGUCUGGAAAGGCGCGCGAUACAGGGUGACAGCCCCGUACACAAAAAUGCACAUAUUGUGAGCUCGAUGAGUAGGGCGGGACACGUGGUAUCCUGUCUGAAUAUGGGGGGCCCAUCCUCCAAGGCUAAAUACUCCUGACUGACCGAUAGUGAACCAGUACCGUGAGGGAAAGGCGAAAAGAACCCCGGCGAGGGGAGUGAAAAAGAACCUGAAACCGUGUACGUACAAGCAGUGGGAGCACGCUUAGGCGUGUGACUGCGUACCUUUUGUAUAAUGGGUCAGCGACUUAUAUUCUGUAGCAAGGUUAACCGAAUAGGGGAGCCGAAGGGAAACCGAGUCUUAACUGGGCGUUAAGUUGCAGGGUAUAGACCCGAAACCCGGUGAUCUAGCCAUGGGCAGGUUGAAGGUUGGGUAACACUAACUGGAGGACCGAACCGACUAAUGUUGAAAAAUUAGCGGAUGACUUGUGGCUGGGGGUGAAAGGCCAAUCAAACCGGGAGAUAGCUGGUUCUCCCCGAAAGCUAUUUAGGUAGCGCCUCGUGAAUUCAUCUCCGGGGGUAGAGCACUGUUUCGGCAAGGGGGUCAUCCCGACUUACCAACCCGAUGCAAACUGCGAAUACCGGAGAAUGUUAUCACGGGAGACACACGGCGGGUGCUAACGUCCGUCGUGAAGAGGGAAACAACCCAGACCGCCAGCUAAGGUCCCAAAGUCAUGGUUAAGUGGGAAACGAUGUGGGAAGGCCCAGACAGCCAGGAUGUUGGCUUAGAAGCAGCCAUCAUUUAAAGAAAGCGUAAUAGCUCACUGGUCGAGUCGGCCUGCGCGGAAGAUGUAACGGGGCUAAACCAUGCACCGAAGCUGCGGCAGCGACGCUUAUGCGUUGUUGGGUAGGGGAGCGUUCUGUAAGCCUGCGAAGGUGUGCUGUGAGGCAUGCUGGAGGUAUCAGAAGUGCGAAUGCUGACAUAAGUAACGAUAAAGCGGGUGAAAAGCCCGCUCGCCGGAAGACCAAGGGUUCCUGUCCAACGUUAAUCGGGGCAGGGUGAGUCGACCCCUAAGGCGAGGCCGAAAGGCGUAGUCGAUGGGAAACAGGUUAAUAUUCCUGUACUUGGUAUUACUGCGAAGGGGGGACGGAGAAGGCUAUGUUGGCCGGGCGACGGUUGUCCCGGUUUAAGCGUGUAGGCUGGUUUUCCAGGCAAAUCCGGAAAAUCAAGGCUGAGGCGUGAUGACGAGGCACUACGGUGCUGAAGCAACAAAUGCCCUGCUUCCAGGAAAAGCCUCUAAGCAUCAGGUAACAUCAAAUCGUACCCCAAACCGACACAGGUGGUCAGGUAGAGAAUACCAAGGCGCUUGAGAGAACUCGGGUGAAGGAACUAGGCAAAAUGGUGCCGUAACUUCGGGAGAAGGCACGCUGAUAUGUAGGUGAAGUCCCUUGCGGAUGGAGCUGAAAUCAGUCGAAGAUACCAGCUGGCUGCAACUGUUUAUUAAAAACACAGCACUGUGCAAACACGAAAGUGGACGUAUACGGUGUGACGCCUGCCCGGUGCCGGAAGGUUAAUUGAUGGGGUCAGCGCAAGCGAAGCUCUUGAUCGAAGCCCCGGUAAACGGCGGCCGUAACUAUAACGGUCCUAAGGUAGCGAAAUUCCUUGUCGGGUAAGUUCCGACCUGCACGAAUGGCGUAAUGAUGGCCAGGCUGUCUCCACCCGAGACUCAGUGAAAUUGAACUCGCUGUGAAGAUGCAGUGUACCCGCGGCAAGACGGAAAGACCCCGUGAACCUUUACUAUAGCUUGACACUGAACAUUGAGCCUUGAUGUGUAGGAUAGGUGGGAGGCUUUGAAGUGUGGACGCCAGUCUGCAUGGAGCCGGCCUUGAAAUACCACCCUUUAAUGUUUGAUGUUCUAACGUGGACCCGUGAUCCGGGUUGCGGACAGUGUCUGGUGGGUAGUUUGACUGGGGCGGUCUCCUCCUAAAGAGUAACGGAGGAGCACGAAGGUUGGCUAAUCCUGGUCGGACAUCAGGAGGUUAGUGCAAUGGCAUAAGCCAGCUUGACUGCGAGCGUGACGGCGCGAGCAGGUGCGAAAGCAGGUCAUAGUGAUCCGGUGGUUCUGAAUGGAAGGGCCAUCGCUCAACGGAUAAAAGGUACUCCGGGGAUAACAGGCUGAUACCGCCCAAGAGUUCAUAUCGACGGCGGUGUUUGGCACCUCGAUGUCGGCUCAUCACAUCCUGGGGCUGAAGUAGGUCCCAAGGGUAUGGCUGUUCGCCAUUUAAAGUGGUACGCGAGCUGGGUUUAGAACGUCGUGAGACAGUUCGGUCCCUAUCUGCCGUGGGCGCUGGAGAACUGAGGGGGGCUGCUCCUAGUACGAGAGGACCGGAGUGGACGCAUCACUGGUGUUCGGGUUGUCAUGCCAAUGGCACUGCCCGGUAGCUAAAUGCGGAAGAGAUAAGUGCUGAAAGCAUCUAAGCACGAAACUUGCCCCGAGAUGAGUUCUCCCUGACCCUUUAAGGGUCCUGAAGGAACGUUGAAGACGACGACGUUGAUAGGCCGGGUGUGUAAGCGCAGCGAUGCGUUGAGCUAACCGGUACUAAUGAACCGUGAGGCUUAACCUUACAACGCCGAAG
This 2925-nucleotide ribosomal RNA is filed under the name Shigella sonnei. Its description in RNAcentral is "23S ribosomal RNA". It matches the Rfam family "Bacterial large subunit ribosomal RNA". The record is from RNAcentral. Lineage: Bacteria; Pseudomonadati; Pseudomonadota; Gammaproteobacteria; Enterobacterales; Enterobacteriaceae.